UGGCGGGCGUGCUUAAACACAUGCAAGUCGAACGAGAGGACAUGGGAAGCUUGCUUCCUAUGAAAUCGAUGGGCAAACGGGUGAGUAAACGCGUAAACAACCUGCCCUUCGGAUGGGGAUAACAGCCGGAAACGGCUGCUAAUACCGAAUACGAUCUUUUCGUCGCAUGACGGAAAGAAGAAAAAGGAUGGCCUCUAUACAAAGCUAUCGCCGAAGGAGGGGUUUGCGUCUGAUUAGCUGGUUGGAGGGUAACGGCCCAACAAGGCGAUGAUCAGUAGCCGGUCUGAGAGGAUGAACGGCCACAUUGGGACUGAGACACGGCCCAGACUCCUACGGAGGCAGCAGUGGGGAAUCUUCCGCAAUGGACGAAAGUCUGACGGAGCAACGCCGCGUGAGUGAAGAAGGUCUUCGGAUUGUAAAACUCUGUUAUACGGGACGAAAAAGACGGAUGCCAACAGUAUCCGUCCGUGACGGUACCGUAAGAGAAAGCCACGGCUAACUACGUGCCAGCAGCCGCGGUAAAU
RNAcentral lists this ribosomal RNA (524 nucleotides) under uncultured Megasphaera sp. RNAcentral's name for it is "bacterial SSU rRNA". It matches the Rfam family "Bacterial small subunit ribosomal RNA", at positions 37 to 525 of the family's 1533-position model. The record is from RNAcentral. Lineage: Bacteria; Bacillati; Bacillota; Negativicutes; Veillonellales; Veillonellaceae.